This 225-nucleotide ribosomal RNA is filed under the name Triticum aestivum (bread wheat). Its description in RNAcentral is "partial small subunit ribosomal RNA". The record is from RNAcentral. Lineage: Eukaryota; Viridiplantae; Streptophyta; Magnoliopsida; Poales; Poaceae.
AUGGCUGCCAACCCGGUGCAUCACCGCCGCACCAAACACAUCGAGCUCGACAUCCAUUUCGUCCGCGAGAAGGUUGCUGUGGGCCAACUGCGCGUUCUUCAUGUCCCGACCGCGCAGCAGUUCGCCGACAUCAUGACGAAGGGCCUCCCGACCCCGGCGUUCCAGGAAUUCCGGUCCAGCCUGUGCAUCCGGCCACCCGAUGCUCCGACUGCGGCGGGGUGUUGA